RNAcentral lists this small nuclear RNA (101 nucleotides) under Microtus ochrogaster (prairie vole). Lineage: Eukaryota; Metazoa; Chordata; Mammalia; Rodentia; Cricetidae. The record is from RNAcentral.
GUGCACACUUCCACAGCACAUAUCCUACAACUGAAUUCCGGGAAGAUGAGCACGGCCCUUGUGUGAGGAUGACACACGUUUGUGAAGCUCUCUAUACUUUU